UACAGAGGUCUCAAGCGUUGUUCGGAUUUAUUGGGCGUAAAGCGUGCGCAGGCGGCGCGUUAAGACAGGUGUGAAAGCCCCGAGCUUAACUUGGGAAUUGCGCUUGUGACUGGCGAGCUGGAGUGUGGCAGAGGGAGGUGGAAUUCCACGUGUAGCAGUGAAAUGCGUAGAGAUGUGGAGGAACACCGAUGGCGAAGGCAGCCUCCUGGGCCAGCACUGACGCUCAUGCACGAAAGCGUGGGGAGCAAACAGG
Molecule: ribosomal RNA, 253 nt
Filed under: uncultured bacterium
Lineage: Bacteria
Description: partial 16S ribosomal RNA
Rfam family: Bacterial small subunit ribosomal RNA
Source: RNAcentral